GCUCCGGUGCACAUUGAAGACUAAAUUCAACAUGAUGCCAUUUCUAAACAGGCAGAUCCUAAACACACUGAGCAGAAUUUCGCGGAUGGUCCUUGCUGCGAUCACACUGAAGAACACCGUGCGGGCCUUGAGACUCCCUACGGAGAUGCCUCGGCUCCGGUGCACACUGAAGAGCAAGCCCAACAUGGUGUUUUUUCUGAUCAGGCGGACUGUAAUUCUAAUGGGCAGCAGGUUCUUACUAGAGAUUUGUGCUUUGUUCCAAGUGUCAUACACCAUGCGGGCCUUGAGGCUCCCUUCAGAGAUGCCUCGGCUCCGGUGCACAUUGAGGAACAUUUCCAUCAAGUUUUUCCAAGUCAGUCCUCUGCACCAUCAUAAGAAGGCUCAUAGAAGCA
Molecule: unclassified non-coding RNA, 392 nt
Filed under: Zea mays
Lineage: Eukaryota; Viridiplantae; Streptophyta; Magnoliopsida; Poales; Poaceae
Description: misc RNA Zm00001eb340970
Source: RNAcentral